AGCAGCCGCGGUAAUUCCAGCUCCAAUAGCGUAUAUUAAAGUUGUUGCAGUUAAAAAGCUCGUAGUUGAAUUUCGGGAUCAGUACUCCGGUCGUGCCUUCGGUAUGCACUGGUGUCACUGGUUCCUCCCUUCUGAAGAACCAUCAUGCCAUUCAGUUGGUGUGGCGGGGAAUCAGGACUGUUACUUUGAAAAAAUUAGAGUGUUUAAAGCAGGCUCGCGCUUGAAUACAUUAGCAUGGAAUAAUGAAAUAGGACGUUUGACCCUAUUUUGUUGGUUUCUAGGAUCGACGUAAUGAUUAAUAGGGAUAGUUGGGGGCAUUAGUAUUCAAUUGUCAGAGGUGAAAUUCUUGGAUUUAUUGAAGACUAACUACUGCGAAAGCAUUUGCCAAGGAUGUUUUCAUUAAUCAAGAACGAAAGUUAGGGGAUCGAAGACGAUCAGAUACCGUCGUAGUCUUAACCAUAAACUAUGCCGACUAGGGAUCGGAUGAUGUUAAUUUUUGAAUGACUCA
RNAcentral lists this ribosomal RNA (508 nucleotides) under uncultured Glomus. RNAcentral describes it as "SSU rRNA". It matches the Rfam family "Eukaryotic small subunit ribosomal RNA", at positions 569 to 1078 of the family's 1831-position model. Lineage: Eukaryota; Fungi; Glomeromycota; Glomeromycetes; Glomerales; Glomeraceae. The record is from RNAcentral.